CAGGGUAUUGAAAAUGGUGUUUGUCCAGUUGUUUUUAGAAGCCACUUUGUCACAAACCUUGGCAAAAGUUAGUGUUCAGAUUCGUUUUUUGCAUUUUUCCACACAAUUAUAACAUUAUAAUAUGUUUUACCGCUCUAAAACACUCAUAUUUGUGAUGUCUGAGGAGUACAACACUACCCCACCAUGUACGUUUUAUAGGAAUUUGG
Non-coding RNA from Pelobates cultripes (western spadefoot toad), 206 nucleotides. The record is from the annotation of a GenBank genome assembly. NCBI's taxonomy places the organism in Eukaryota, Metazoa, Chordata, Amphibia, Anura, Pelobatidae.